CGAACGCUGGCGGCGUGCUUAACACAUGCAAGUCGAACGGAAAGGCCCUGCUUUUGUGGGGUGCUCGAGUGGCGAACGGGUGAGUAACACGUGAGUAACCUGCCCUUGACUUUGGGAUAACUUCAGGAAACUGGGGCUAAUACCGGAUAGGAGCUCCUGCUGCAUGGUGGGGGUUGGAAAGUUUCGGCGGUUGGGGAUGGACUCGCGGCUUAUCAGCUUGUUGGUGGGGUAGUGGCUUACCAAGGCUUUGACGGGUAGCCGGCCUGAGAGGGUGACCGGCCAACAUGGGACUGAGAUACGGCCCAGACUCCUACGGGAGGCAGCAGUGGGGAAUAUUGCACAAUGGGCGGAAGCCUGAUGCAGCAACGCCGCGUGCGGGAUGACGGCCUUCGGGUUGUAAACCGCUUUCGCCUGUGACGAAGCGUGAGUGACGGUAAUGGGUAAAGAAGCACCGGCUAACUACGUG
This 466-nucleotide ribosomal RNA is filed under the name uncultured bacterium. Its description in RNAcentral is "partial 16S ribosomal RNA". It matches the Rfam family "Bacterial small subunit ribosomal RNA", at positions 30 to 507 of the family's 1533-position model. The record is from RNAcentral.